GGGUUGUGAGGUUAAGCGACUAAGCGUACACGGUGGAUGCCCUGGCAGUCAGAGGCGAUGAAGGACGUGCUAAUCUGCGAAAAGCGCCGGUAAGGUGAUAUGAACCGUUAUAACCGGCGAUGUCCGAAUGGGGAAACCCAGUGUGACUCGUCACACUAUCAUUAACUGAAUCCAUAGGUUAAUGAGGCGAACCGGGGGAACUGAAACAUCUAAGUACCCCGAGGAAAAGAAAUCAACCGAGAUUCCCCCAGUAGCGGCGAGCGAACGGGGAGGAGCCCAGAGUCUGAAUCAGCUUGUGUGUUAGUGGAAGCGUCUGGAAAGUCGCGCGAUACAGGGUGACAGCCCCGUACACAAAAGCACACAGGCUGUGAGCUCGAUGAGUAGGGCGGGACACGUGGUAUCCUGUCUGAAUAUGGGGGGACCAUCCUCCAAGGCUAAAUACUCCUGACUGACCGAUAGUGAACCAGUACCGUGAGGGAAAGGCGAAAAGAACCCCGGCGAGGGGAGUGAAAAAGAACCUGAAACCGUGUACGUACAAGCAGUGGGAGCCUCUUGAUGGGGUGACUGCGUACCUUUUGUAUAAUGGGUCAGCGACUUAUAUUCUGUAGCAAGGUUAACCGAAUAGGGGAGCCGAAGGGAAACCGAGUCUUAACUGGGCGUUAAGUUGCAGGGUAUAGACCCGAAACCCGGUGAUCUAGCCAUGGGCAGGUUGAAGGUUGGGUAACACUAACUGGAGGACCGAACCGACUAAUGUUGAAAAAUUAGCGGAUGACCUGUGGCUGGGGGUGAAAGGCCAAUCAAACCGGGAGAUAGCUGGUUCUCCCCGAAAGCUAUUUAGGUAGCGCCUCGUGAAUUCAUCUCCGGGGGUAGAGCACUGUUUCGGCUAGGGGGCCAUCCCGGCUUACCAACCCGAUGCAAACUACGAAUACCGGAGAAUGUUAUCACGGGAGACACACGGCGGGUGCUAACGUCCGUCGUGAAGAGGGAAACAACCCAGACCGCCAGCUAAGGUCCCAAAGUCAUGGUUAAGUGGGAAACGAUGUGGGAAGGCCCAGACAGCCAGGAUGUUGGCUUAGAAGCAGCCAUCAUUUAAAGAAAGCGUAAUAGCUCACUGGUCGAGUCGGCCUGCGCGGAAGAUGUAACGGGGCUAAACCAUGCACCGAAGCUGCGGCAGCGACACUGUGUGUUGUUGGGUAGGGGAGCGUUCUGUAAGCCUGCGAAGGUGGCCUGUGAGGGUUGCUGGAGGUAUCAGAAGUGCGAAUGCUGACAUAAGUAACGAUAAAGCGGGUGAAAAGCCCGCUCGCCGGAAGACCAAGGGUUCCUGUCCAACGUUAAUCGGGGCAGGGUGAGUCGACCCCUAAGGCGAGGCCGAAAGGCGUAGUCGAUGGGAAACAGGUUAAUAUUCCUGUACUUGGUGUUACUGCGAAGGGGGGACGGAGAAGGCUAUGUUAGCCGGGCGACGGUUGUCCCGGUUUAAGCGUGAAGGUGUGUGCUCCAGGCAAAUCCGGAGUGCUUUAACACUGAGGCGUGAUGACGAGGCACUACGGUGCUGAAGUAACAAAUGCCCUGCUUCCAGGAAAAGCCUCUAAGCAUCAGGUAACACGAAAUCGUACCCCAAACCGACACAGGUGGUCAGGUAGAGAAUACCAAGGCGCUUGAGAGAACUCGGGUGAAGGAACUAGGCAAAAUGGUGCCGUAACUUCGGGAGAAGGCACGCUGAUAUGUAGGUGAAGCGACUUGCUCGUGGAGCUGAAAUCAGUCGAAGAUACCAGCUGGCUGCAACUGUUUAUUAAAAACACAGCACUGUGCAAACACGAAAGUGGACGUAUACGGUGUGACGCCUGCCCGGUGCCGGAAGGUUAAUUGAUGGGGUCAUCCGUAAGGAGAAGCUCUUGAUCGAAGCCCCGGUAAACGGCGGCCGUAACUAUAACGGUCCUAAGGUAGCGAAAUUCCUUGUCGGGUAAGUUCCGACCUGCACGAAUGGCGUAAUGAUGGCCAGGCUGUCUCCACCCGAGACUCAGUGAAAUUGAACUCGCUGUGAAGAUGCAGUGUACCCGCGGCAAGACGGAAAGACCCCGUGAACCUUUACUAUAGCUUGACACUGAACACUGGUCCUUGAUGUGUAGGAUAGGUGGGAGGCUUUGAAGCGUGGACGCCAGUCUGCGUGGAGCCAUCCUUGAAAUACCACCCUUUAAUGGCUGGUGUUCUAACGUGGACCCGUAAUCCGGGUUGCGGACAGUGUCUGGUGGGUAGUUUGACUGGGGCGGUCUCCUCCUAAAGCGUAACGGAGGAGCACGAAGGUCAGCUAAUCCUGGUCGGACAUCAGGAGGUUAGUGCAAUGGCAUAAGCUGGCUUGACUGCGAGCGUGACGGCGCGAGCAGGUGCGAAAGCAGGUCAUAGUGAUCCGGUGGUUCUGAAUGGAAGGGCCAUCGCUCAACGGAUAAAAGGUACUCCGGGGAUAACAGGCUGAUACCGCCCAAGAGUUCAUAUCGACGGCGGUGUUUGGCACCUCGAUGUCGGCUCAUCACAUCCUGGGGCUGAAGUAGGUCCCAAGGGUAUGGCUGUUCGCCAUUUAAAGUGGUACGCGAGCUGGGUUUAGAACGUCGUGAGACAGUUCGGUCCCUAUCUGCCGUGGGCGCUGGAGAAUUGAGGGGGGCUGCUCCUAGUACGAGAGGACCGGAGUGGACGCAUCACUGGUGUUCGGGUUGUCAUGCCAAUGGCACUGCCCGGUAGCUAAAUGCGGAAGAGAUAAGUGCUGAAAGCAUCUAAGCACGAAACUUGCCCCGAGAUGAGUUCUCCCUGAGACUUUAAGUCUCCUGAAGGAACGUUGAAGACGACGACGUUGAUAGGCCGGGUGUGUAAGCGCAGCGAUGCGUUGAGCUAACCGGUACUAAUGAACCGUGAGGCUUAACCUUACAACGCCGAAG
This 2927-nucleotide ribosomal RNA is filed under the name Kosakonia sacchari. RNAcentral's name for it is "bacterial LSU rRNA". It matches the Rfam family "Bacterial large subunit ribosomal RNA". The record is from RNAcentral. Lineage: Bacteria; Pseudomonadati; Pseudomonadota; Gammaproteobacteria; Enterobacterales; Enterobacteriaceae.